UACAGAGGGGGCAAGCGUUGUUCGGAAUUACUGGGCGUAAAGGGCUCGUAGGCGGCCAACUAAGUCAGACGUGAAAUCCCUCGGCUUAACCGGGGAACUGCGUCUGAUACUGGAUGGCUUGAAUCCGGGAGAGGGAUGCGGAAUUCCAGGUGUAGCGGUGAAAUGCGUAGAUAUCGAUAGGAACACUCGUGGCGAAGGCGAGCUACUGGACAACAUCUGACGCUGAGGCUCGAAGGCUAGGGGAGCAAAAGGG
Molecule: ribosomal RNA, 253 nt
Filed under: uncultured bacterium
Lineage: Bacteria
Description: partial 16S ribosomal RNA
Rfam family: Bacterial small subunit ribosomal RNA
Source: RNAcentral